This 280-nucleotide ribosomal RNA is filed under the name uncultured bacterium. RNAcentral describes it as "partial 16S ribosomal RNA". It matches the Rfam family "Bacterial small subunit ribosomal RNA", at positions 506 to 784 of the family's 1533-position model. The record is from RNAcentral.
UGCCAGCCGCCGCGGUAAUACUGAAGGUGCAAGCGUUAAUCGGAAUCACUGGGCGUAAAGCGCUCGUAGGUGGCUGUUGUAAGUCAGAUGUGAAAGCCCGCGGCUCAACCGUGGAAUUGCAUUUGAUACUGCAUCGCUAGAGUAUAUGAGAGGGAAGUGGAAUUUCUGGUGUAGGAGUGAAAUCCGUAGAGAUCAGAAGGAACACCGGUGGCGAAGGCGACUUCCUGGACUAUUACUGACACUGAGGAGCGACAGCGGGGGCAGCAGUAAGGAUUAGGCA